UACGUAGGGUGCAGGCGUUAAUCGGAAUUACUGGGCGUAAAGCGUGCGCAGGCGGCUCCUUAAGUCAGAUGUGAAAUCCCCGGGCUUAACCUGGGAACUGCGUUUGAAACUGGGGGGCUUGAGUGUGGAAGAGGGGGGUGGAAUUCCAGGUGUAGCAGUGAAAUGCGUAGAGAUCUGGAGGAACACCGAUGGCGAAGGCAGCCCCCUGGGCCUGUACUGACGCUGAGGAGCGAAAGCCAGGGGAGCAAACGGG
Molecule: ribosomal RNA, 253 nt
Filed under: uncultured bacterium
Lineage: Bacteria
Description: partial 16S ribosomal RNA
Rfam family: Bacterial small subunit ribosomal RNA
Source: RNAcentral